Long non-coding RNA from Carassius auratus (goldfish), 3211 nucleotides. Lineage: Eukaryota; Metazoa; Chordata; Actinopteri; Cypriniformes; Cyprinidae. The record is from Ensembl.
UAACUUCAGCAUCCACAACACUCACUACAACAACAGUGCCUACAUCCUCAGGAACAACUCCACCAGUAACAACAUCAGUAACUACAGAAUUCUCAACUACUAAAAUUCCCACAACCACAGUUUUGAGUACAGAAACUACACCUGUUAGUUCAAAAGUGGUGCCUACAACUUCAGAGAGUACAAAAGCAGAAACCGUAACUACAGCUUCAUCAUCCACACCUACAACAACAAACAAACCCACAACAUCAACAGCUGUAACUUCAGAAUCCACAACUCUCACUUCAACAGCAGUGCCUACAUCUUCAGGAAUAACUGCCCCAGUAAAAACAUCAGGAACUACAACAUCCUCAACCACUCAAAUUCCCACAAGCACAGUUGUGAGUACAGAAACCACAUUUAUUACUUCAACAGUUUUGCCUACAACGUCAGAGAGUAAAACAGCAGAAACCAUGAUUACAGCUUCACCAACCACACCUACAACAAAGAGUCCCACAACAUCAACGGCUGUAACUUCAGCAUCCACAACUCUUACUUCAACAUCAAUGCCUAUAUCUUCAGAAACAACUGCAGCUGUAACAACUUCAGUAACUACAGAGUCCUCAACUACUAAAAUUCCCACAACCACAGUUGUGAGUACAGAAACUACAUCUGUUGCUUCAACUUCAGAUAGUACAACAGUAGAAACCACAACUUCAUCCUCCUCAACCACACCUACAACAACAAACAAACCCACAGCGUCAACAGCUGUAUCUUCAGAAUCCACAACUCACACUUCAACAACUGUGCCUACAUCUUCAGAAACAACUGCACCUGUAACAACAUCAGUAACUACAGCUUCUUCUAUUACAACUCUUCCUUCCUCUAUGCCAUCAGCUCCAAUGUCAUCUAAAGCUCCUAGUACAACAACAUCCCAAACCGCAUUGCUUCUUGCAACCACAUCUACUGGAGCUCUCAGGUCCACUGUUGUAACUUCAGAAGCAACAACUCUUACAUCUACAACAUUUCCUACAACAUCAGGAAGUACAACUACACCUGCAACAAGCACAACUGCAGCUUCCAAAGCCUCAGUGGGGCCUUCCACUGCUGUGACUACAGCUUUCAAAACUACAACUACAUCCUCAACAUCUACACCUUCCUCAGCUGUAAUAGUGCCUUCUGCUUCUACAUCAUCAUCUCCAACCUCAUUAUCAACUAAUUAUCCAACAACAUCAACAACUAUAACUUUACCAAAAAUGUCUACAUCUUCAGAAGCAUCUGCACCUGUAACAAAAUCAGUAACUACAGCUUCCUCAACUAUAACUGUACCUUCCUCUAUGACAUCAGCUCCAAUGUCAACAACAGCUCAAACCACAAUGCCACUUGCACCGGCAACUUCUGAAACAAUCACAAGAAUGACUUCAGAAACCACAACUUCACCAACAACAUCAAUAACUACAGCCUCCGCAACUAAAACUGUAGUUUCAACAAUGACAACAGCAGCUUCUACAACCACAUAUAAACCUUCCACCAUGACCUCAGCUCCAAGUUCAACAACAGCUCAAAUCAAAAUGUCUAGUGUAGCUGCAACUACUGAAGUUGUGAUUCCAGAUUCCACAACUGUUGCAUCAACAACAAUUUCUACAAAAUCAGGAACAGCAAGUUCUAUUGCAACAACCACAACUACAGCUUCCACCACCACAAUCAUUCCUUCCACUACUACAUCAGAUCAAACCUCAACUAAGGCUGUAAGUACAACAUCAGAAGGUUCUAACACAAUGUCAGAAAGCAUAACUUCACCUGCAACAACCACAGAUUCCACAGCCAUGAUGGAAUAUUCAACUACUACAUCAAGUUUACCCUCAGCCACUACAACUGAAACCUCAACUCUUACUGCACCGACAAUGUUUGCAACUUCAGAGAGUAAACCUGCACCUGCAACAUCCACCAUUACAGCUUUCUCUUCUACUAACUAUCCCACAACUGAACGUCCAUCUCAAACCUCAGCUUCAAUUCCAAGCACAAACACACCUACAGUGGCAAAAACCACUGCAUUCCAAAUAAUAACUGCACCUAUAUCAACCACAACUAUUGCUUUCACUAAUACAGCUCCAGCUCUAAGCCAGGCAGGACUCCUUACAACAACAAAUGCACCUCCGGUUAUCACAACUGUGUCUCCAGAAACUGUAACUAUUGCUGUAACAAUUAUGCCUAUCUCAUCAUCACAUGUAACUAUAUUCUCAACAUUAACUCCAACAAAAACAACAGAACCUCCAAGAACCCCAACUACACCCAUUACAACCAUGACUGUUCUUCCCACCACUACAAUUCCAGCUGAUAUCUCAGUUACAGUUCCAAGCACAACAACAGCCACUAUUUCAAGUUCAACUGCAGCUCAAACAACAGAUGCAUUUCAAAUAACAACAGGAGGUCUUUUAAGAACAACAGUAGCUUUUACCAGCACAUCUUCUGCUCCAGUCACACCUGCACUUUCAACCAAAACAACUUCAAGGCCAAAAAUGGAUUCAGAGACUACAACUGCAUCAACAACUACAACUGGAAUUAGUACAGGUCUCAUCAGUGCAGCAGAAUUUCCAAUAGCUCCAGUUACAUCAGUUUCAAACACAAACACAUCAGUAUCUCCAACAUCUACAAUUCCACUUCAAUCAUCAACCAAAACUACACCAGCUGAAAUGAUUUCUAGCAAUACUACCCCGCUAAACAAUACAACAAAAGCAGAUGCAUCUGCAGCACUUCAAAGUACUUCAAGUUUGCAACCAGAAACUUCAAGCAUACCCAAAACUUUGUCAACGAAUGUGACUGGUGCAGCAACUGUCACAACCAAAUUGGUAUUCUCAUCCUUGUCAUCAAUGCCCACUAAAGAUUUGGUCCUAAAUGCUAUUAGUACUCUUCGGGAAUCUAGACAGUCCCAACUCAAUGAAUCACUGAAGAUUGCAAAUAUUACUUAUCAGGAGGUCUCAGAAACCUCCUACCUCAUCAUCUUCCAGUUUAGUCUGAGUAAUAUCAGCAUGCCAGAGAACCCUGAUCUAAGAAACAACAGUUACAUGCAAGUACAGGAUGUUGUGAAUAAUGCGCUAAACACUCUUCUGAAUGAACCUGGUAGUCCAUAUUUACAACCAAAGACCUCCAACUUCACGUAAGAUGCAGACAAAUGUCACAAUCUUUAUUGCAUAUGUCCUCACUGUUUAGCUUACUGAAGCUUUGAAGUUAUGUA